UACGGAGGGGGCUAGCGUUGUUCGGAAUUACUGGGCGUAAAGCGCACGUAGGCGGCUUUGUAAGUUAGAGGUGAAAGCCCGGAGCUCAACUCCGGAAUUGCCUUUAAGACUGCAUCGCUUGAAUCAUGGAGAGGUGAGUGGAAUUCCGAGUGUAGAGGUGAAAUUCGUAGAUAUUCGGAAGAACACCAGUGGCGAAGGCGACUCACUGGACAUGUAUUGACGCUGAGGUGCGAAAGCGUGGGGAGCAAACAGGAUUAGAAACCCUGUAGUCC
This 272-nucleotide ribosomal RNA is filed under the name uncultured prokaryote. RNAcentral describes it as "partial 16S ribosomal RNA". It matches the Rfam family "Bacterial small subunit ribosomal RNA", at positions 524 to 796 of the family's 1533-position model. The record is from RNAcentral.